Molecule: ribosomal RNA, 373 nt
Filed under: Nalassus dryadophilus
Lineage: Eukaryota; Metazoa; Arthropoda; Insecta; Coleoptera; Tenebrionidae
Description: partial 12S ribosomal RNA
Source: RNAcentral
AGAUACCCUAUUAUUAAAAAUGUAAAUAUUAAAACNUGAAUUAUUAUAAGUUAAGAUCUUUAAAAUUAAAAAAUUUGGCGGUAUUUUAGUCUGUUCAGAGGAACCUGUUUUUUGAUUGAUAAUCCACGAUAAUUUUUACUUUAAUUUUAAAUUUAUAUAUCGUCGUUUAUAAAAAUUUUAGGAGGAUUAGAAUUUUUAGGAUUUAAGAUUAUAAAGUAGUUCAGAUCAAGGUGUAGUUUAUAUUGAAGGUAAAAUGGGUUACAUUAUAUUUAUAUGUGGUUUUUGAUUUUAAAAUUUAGAUUAAAAUGGAUUUGAUAGUAAAAUUUUUAUUUUUGUGAUUUGAUUUAGCUCUAAAAUAUGCACACAUCGCCCG